UACGGGGGGAGCAAGCGUUGUUCGGAUUUACUGGGCGUAAAGGGCUCGUAGGCGGCCAACUAAGUCAGAUGUGAAAUCCCUCGGCUUAACCGGGGAACUGCAUCUGAUACUGGAUGGCUUGAGUUCGGGAGAGGGAUGCGGAAUUCCAGGUGUAGCGGUGAAAUGCGUAGAUAUCUGGAGGAACACCGGUGGCGAAGGCGGCAUCCUGGACCGACACUGACGCUGAGGAGCGAAAGCCAGGGGAGCAAACGGG
This 253-nucleotide ribosomal RNA is filed under the name uncultured bacterium. RNAcentral describes it as "partial 16S ribosomal RNA". It matches the Rfam family "Bacterial small subunit ribosomal RNA", at positions 524 to 776 of the family's 1533-position model. The record is from RNAcentral.